GUGGGGAAUAUUGCGCAAUGGGGGGAACCCUGACGCAGCCAUGCCGCGUGAAUGAAGAAGGCCUUCGGGUUGUAAAGUUCUUUCGGUAUUGAGGAAGGUUGAUGUGUUAAUAGUACAUCAAAUUGACGUUAAAUACAGAAGAAGCACCGGCUAACUCCGUGCCAGCAGCCGCGGUAAUACGGAGGGUGCGAGCGUUAAUCGGAAUAACUGGGCGUAAAGGGCACGCAGGCGGUUAUUUAAGUGAGGUGUGAAAGCCCCGGGCUUAACCUGGGAAUUGCAUUUCAGACUGGGUAACUAGAGUACUUUAGGGAGGGGUAGAAUUCCACGUGUAGCGGUGAAAUGCGUAGAGAUGUGGAGGAAUACCGAAGGCGAAGGCAGCCCCUUGGGAAUGUACUGACGCUCAUGUGCGAAAGCGUGGGGAGCAAACAGG
Molecule: ribosomal RNA, 430 nt
Filed under: uncultured bacterium
Lineage: Bacteria
Description: bacterial SSU rRNA
Rfam family: Bacterial small subunit ribosomal RNA
Source: RNAcentral